RNAcentral lists this ribosomal RNA (253 nucleotides) under uncultured bacterium. Its description in RNAcentral is "partial 16S ribosomal RNA". It matches the Rfam family "Bacterial small subunit ribosomal RNA", at positions 524 to 776 of the family's 1533-position model. The record is from RNAcentral.
UACGUAGGGGGCUAGCGUUGUCCGGAAUUACUGGGCGUAAAGCGCGCGUAGGCGGCUGGAUAAGUCGAUUGUGAAAGCCCCGGGCUCAACCUGGGAAUUGCAGUCGAGACUGUUCGGCUAGAGUGUGGGAGAGGGUGGUGGAAUUCCCGGUGUAGCGGUGAAAUGCGUAGAUAUCGGGAGGAACAUCAGUGGCGAAGGCGACCACCUGGCUCAACACUGACGCUGAGGUGCGAAAGCGUGGGUAGCAAACAGG